UACGUAGGGUGCGAGCGUUGUCCGGAAUUAUUGGGCGUAAAGAGCUCGUAGGCGGUCUGUCGCGUCUGCUGUGAAAACUCGGGGCUUAACCCCGGGCCUGCAGUGGGUACGGGCAGACUAGAGUGCGGUAGGGGAGACUGGAAUUCCUGGUGUAGCGGUGAAAUGCGCAGAUAUCAGGAGGAACACCGGUGGCGAAGGCGGGUCUCUGGGCCGUAACUGACGCUGAGACGCGAAAGCGUGGGGAGCGAACAGG
RNAcentral lists this ribosomal RNA (253 nucleotides) under uncultured bacterium. RNAcentral describes it as "partial 16S ribosomal RNA". It matches the Rfam family "Bacterial small subunit ribosomal RNA", at positions 524 to 776 of the family's 1533-position model. The record is from RNAcentral.